UCCCCGGUGGCUCAGCUGGUAAAGUAUCCACCUGCAAUGUGGUAGACCUGGGUUCGAUCCCUGGCUUGGGAA
Bos taurus (domestic cattle) is the source of this 72-nucleotide non-coding RNA. Lineage: Eukaryota; Metazoa; Chordata; Mammalia; Artiodactyla; Bovidae. The record is from Rfam.